UGGACACAUGGAGGCCAACUCUCACAUGUGUGUAUAUAGACAUAAUUCCAAUUAUUUUGAAAAUAAAGAGGUCAAAGUACCAAAUUGAAUUCAAUAUAAAAUAUAUAAAGAAUAUCUUAUCAUGGAUAUAAAGAUUAAAACAUUUCAAUCAUGUUAAUUAAUAGAUUUUUAGGUCAAUUGAUUCUCUCAUGUGACCUAUUGCUAGUGGUCAGCUUCUGUUGUGAGAGUAAACAAAACAUCAAGCUUGUAAAUAUCAUGAUUCCUAGGGUAGAAAUUCUGACUCCAGGAGGAACCAAACUUGAUAUAUAGUGUUUAUGUGUAAAACAUUUAAAUUUAGAUAACAUCUUCCUUAAUGCUAUUGAUGCUUUUAGGUAAAGAAGGAACAGGUAAUUGUAAAUUUCAUGACCUCGAUCAGUGAUAAUAAUAAUAAAAUUUAUAUACAUGCAGCCUUAUAUAAAACAGUUUAUUACUCUAAGGUGCUUUACACAAUCUGAUUAAAAUAAGAUCUUUGAUCCGCUCCGUUAUUGUUAUGUCGUUUCAAUAAGAUCUUUGAUCCGCUCCGUUAUUGUUAUGGAGCGGAUCAAAGAUAUUAUUUAUAACAAUAACGGAGCGGAUCAAAGAUCUUAUUUUAAUCAGAUUGUGCUUUACAAGGGCAAGAAGAGGAAUGCAACAAUAAAAUAGAAUUAAAUGACUUUAUGACAACUUAUAGAUGUAUCUGUAAAUUAAAUUAUCAAAAUAAAACACUAUGAUUAAGAUCAAUAGCUAAAAGUUGGUUGGUUUUUUGGGGUUUUUCUUUUUUGGUAUUUGAUAAUUAAAAACACAGUUUAUAUAUACAUGUUAGAAUCUAAAGGUUUUGAUACUAGCUUUAAAAUAGAUGGAACCAAAAUGGUCAUAGUAAUCACAUGUCUUUAUGAUUUAAAAGAAUCCUUCUUUAAUUUUGUUGACACUAGAAUAUUAUAAAUGAUGGAUGCAUUGUCAAGAAAAACAGAAAGAGAUGUACAAAAAUUGUGACGCUUGCAACUCCAGGGUUCUGAUUCAAUGUCAGAUCCAAAUAGUGUUAAAAGUGUAUAUCAAGUUUAUAAUUGUAAAAUGUUUCAUCAGUAUAGACGCUUUUGGGGGAAUGAAUUACACCUUAUAUUAUACUUCUACUGAAUAUUAGAAUUUAGCAUAUAAAUGCAUGCCUAGAGCAAGAAAAGUUACUGUAUUAUAUAGAUUUCAUUCAUAUUGAGGUUAGUAAUACUUUUAACUAAAUAACUCAGGUGACUGGUAAGGUCAGUGUCUUGUUGAUAUUUUUGAUGUGUGUAUGCAUGUACGUGUAUGUGUGUGUUUGUAAGCCCUGUCAAUUGAACCAGUGAAUAAGAAGGCACACGUGUAAAUCAACACGGGGUCGGUCAAAGGAACACGAAAAUGGUGGUGUUCAGUUGGAUUUUUAUAAAAAUCAGCAUAAAAUCAUUAAAUAGUUCAUCUACCAUCAAAAUCCUGAAGUGUUUACUUAACAGGAUUUAUGAGAUGUGUGUAACAGGUGUGUAAAGAUUUAGCACUCGUCCAUCUUUUUUCCUUGCGAGCAUGGCUUACACACUUUCGAAGUGCGCAUGCUCUGUUUUGAAUGACGUAAUUUGUGAUGUCAUCAUAAUGGAGUUUUCCAGGGAAAGAAGUUGGCCCAUCUGAGGUAAGUAAACACGGUUGAAAGAAAAUGUUUGCAUAUUAACAAUGAGUUUUUUAUUAGAUAGACUGAUUAAAUGGUGUUUCAUACCGAUCGUGUUAUGUACAAGCGACAGAGUACCCGAGUUACUGAAAAUUCCGAUGAUGAAAGUGAUAUAUCUAGUACGUGAACUGUUUGGGUUUUUUUCUAAAAUUUAAUCUUUGCAGUUAAUGUACUCUGUAUACUAAAAAUUCAUAUUGAUUUUGGAUAGAAUUUCACAUUUAAAAACAAAUAGAUAUGCGCCAAGUCCUUAGGAAUCUACCCCACCCCCACCCCUCCAAACGGGACUUUUUUUUGGAUGAUUGGACCGUAUCCCCCUUUUCAUCUGUCUCCCUACUUUGAAGUUUUUUUCCCAACGCCAUGACAUAAAUAAAUAAAUAAAUAAAAUGCAAAAAUAAAAACGAAAGAUAAAUAUGUAUUCGGAUUGGCAUGUUCCACUUUGUCCGGGUUGAAAUCCCCGAGGAUGCAAAUGUACAUUACGCCGCACUAUUUGCAGUACGUACAUGGUACAGGUGUACCGCAUAGGUAUGUAGCUACUAAGACUAUAAACCAAACAGAAUAUCAUAUGUAAAACUAUUACUCUGAAUGCAUUUUACUUGUUUACAAUGUAGCCUGUCGGGGUGUGGUGCAUGUCACACGCGUUGUUUACACGUGCACUUUAGGUGGCAGUGGAGGAAAUUCGAACCAUGUAUGGAUUAUUGUCUCCUGAUAACUUUGGCAGUUAACUUUUGAUUUCAAUCUACUUUUUAAGAAUAAUAUAACCCUCGCUAAUCAUUGCCAAGCUGCAUUUCGAUCUUGGCAGAAUGAUCUUCAGCUACAAUUCAAAAUUAAGGGGUGAUGUUGUGUACUAAGUUUUUCUUGAUUGUUUACAUCUGUGACUGUUUAUGUGAUGUAUCAACUGAUCAAGCUGUACAGUGUCAUGACAUAUAGUGGCAUAGCUUCCAUUUAUGUACUUGCGCAUCAUUUUGUCAGAAGAAGAAAAUUCUAAAAUGAUAAUUAAGAUUUUUAACAUGUAUAUGAAUAUACAUGUAUGUGUAUGUUUGAUUUUAGUAUAAUACCUGUAGAGAAUAUUUCAGUAGUAUGAAGUGCCACACAUUUAGACGCAUGCAUGUGGUGUUUAAAGGUCUCAUCUGAAAGACCAGCAACUUUCUCUUUUGAAUGCUAAAUAUGAUGAUGGAGCAUUCACCUCACUACCUACAUUUUCACCCUAAAUAAAGUACAAGCAUGGCUCGAAACCAUGAUUUCUUGAUCCUGUUACCAGUCUUCACGAAAAACUUUGUAAAGCACAGGCCCUUCGGGCCUCCCAGUAUAAUAAUUGUGCAAGCCCGAACAAUAUUUUGCAGGCCCAAAAUGUUUAUUUUCUAAUUUGAUCUCUUGUUAUUUGCUGAUUCUACUCUAUAGACACAUGCACAGUUCUUUUACUGUAGGAAAAUACAGGUCAAGAUGAUCAUAGUUAAAGAUCAACUGACAUUAAAAGGAUUAUAUUAUUUUUCAACAUAUUAAUCCAGUAUAUGCGAAAGUUUUUGGACCACACAGGACAUUCGGUCCAGUGUAAUCAAUGAACACACCGGACCGAACCAAAUUUUGUCAGACCGAAAAACCUAAUGUAAAAAAGUGAAACACGUGAAAAUGCAAAACCAAGGGAAUCUUAUUUAUUAUACUAGUAAUACUAUUCCAGGAAUCCUUCCCGUAUAAUACUUUAGACAGUCCAUGCGGUUUUAAUCAAUUCAUUUACGUAUUUGGAUGUGUGCUAUUUUUUUUACUUAUAACAAACUCCGCAUCAAGAUAGUAAAGCUCAAAACCGGACAUUGAGACAUCUGACAUUCCGGUCCGGUGUAAAAAAUGAUGCAUCGGACCUGAGGCACUGCACAUCGGUCAGGUCCGACAGUCCGAUGUCUUUCGCAUAGACUGAUUAAUCUCGCAGAUACAUCAGCAGCUCAUGUUCAACUCUGUUUUGUAUACACCACGUACAAAACAUUUUUUAAAUGUUAGCCAAGGCCUACCCUCGCAGUGUUCGAAAUUGGUUUAAAACUUGGUAUAGACCACAGGUCUAUGCCAAAAUAAGAUGACUUAGACGUACCUCAUCGAAUUGGCAUAGACCACAACAUUGAAAAAAUAAUAACACAAAUUUAAAACAUUUUCAUUUACUUCUAAUAUACUUGGAAAGUGUAUUUUCUUUCCAUUUCUGUAAUAUCAUCCUUUCCUCAUAAUGUUUAUCAGACGUCGACUGACCAUGCAAGGCCCUCUUGGAUAACUUUAAUUAUUGCUUUAAAUCUAGAAAAUUGGCAUAGACAAUUUGGUCUAUCUCAAUUACAGUUGGCAUAGACCAGUGCCAUUUGACAUAUACUCGGUCUAUGGUUAAUUUUGAACACUGCCCUCGGUCCAAUGGGGCAUGAAUUUUCGUUUUUUUUCUCCUCGUACGACAGUAUUUUUUUUGGUUUUUUUAUCGGAUGGUUGGGAUUGUGAAAUACGCUUGGGUGGUUUUGAAUUUCCCGGACGAGCCCCCUCCCUAUACUUCAGAAAAGGCAGCAUGGUUGAUAAUUUUUCUAUGCGAAAUUUGACUACUAAGUCAUGACAUUUAGUCUGAGUCAAUCUCACGCUUUAUUUGUAAUAUAUACAGAACAUAUAAGAAAACAUUUACAGGCCCAUCGGACUCCAGGGUUUAAUAUUUUAAGAAGCCCGAUCCCGAUUUUACUGGCCUCGGGCAUCAGGCCACUGGUUAAUGUCGAAAACUGUGUUACCACUGAGCUACCAUGACCAAUUUUUAUACGCCCGUCUUAAGACGGGACGUAUUAUGGUAUGGCGUGUCUGUCCGUCCGUCUGUUAGCUUUUUCGUGUCCGACCCGUAACUUAAAUACUACAAGGCCUAGAAUCAUCAAACUUUGUCUGUAGAUACAUCUUGGGUAGAAGGUAUGUCGCACAUUAAAACCAGGUCACUGUGACUUUUCAUUAAGAAGAUAUGGCCAUAUAUGGCAAAAACUUGUCCAGCUCAUAACUUGAAAACUAUUAGACCUAGAAUCACCAAAAUUGGUCAACUAAUGCAUCUUAGGUAGAAGGUGUGUCGCAUCCUACUUUAAGGUCACUGUGACAUUUAAUUAAGGUGAUAUAAAAAAAAAUGUUUUAAUGGGUACUAUCUAUACUGUUAACAAUAUGUGACGGGCGUAUCAUGUGCCAUGACGGUGCACUUUAUUUAACAUGAAUUCAUAGCUAAAAAAAAAUUAUUACUAAUUUUUUGGUUAAUUCCAUAAAUAUAUUAUUCCGCUCUCUAGACACAAUUCUGGGUUACCCCCCUGCCUUUGGGGGUAUAAGCACCUCAUUUCUUUCAGAAUGGCACAAUGUCAGGAGAGCUUUUGUUAUUUGUUAUACUCUUAAUGUUGAUGGCAUGCAUCUAUGAACAACAGGAUAAUUUUUUAGAUUAUUAUUUCUGAUAUCAUAUUUGUAAAUUGUUUAUGAGGGGUUGUUAAAAGUUUGUGGACAAAAGGACGCACUUAUUAAAAAUUCAGAGUUAUCGUAAGUGAAAAAUAUAGGAGAUGUGUAACAAGAUUGUAUAUUUGAAGAUUUUAAUUUUAAUUAAUUUUUAUAAGUAUUGAUUUCAGAUACAUGUAUGACAUUGCAUGCUUGGGGGGGGGGGGGGGGGGCUACAGUUCGAUAAUAUUCUGGUCAGCACAUUCGAUAAACUACAUGGAAUUCAUUAAAUCACUUCUUUUUCUUUCAGUGGUCUUCAACUUUUAAUCUCCAAGAAGGAAAUGUAAUUAAAAGAUGAAUAAAGUAUCCCUAAGAAUACCAGAAGAAAGGCUAUGUGUUGAGAAAAACAGCCCUUCCUCAGUACCUCAGAACUAGAUGAUAGCCCUUAAUUGUUACUUUAUGCUGAAUAUGACACAGUAUAGAAGAUCUGAUCAUGAAGAAGUAACACCAUUGAUACACUUGCCAACUGCCAAAAUUACUUUCUGAUAGUAUGACGAGAUUAGAAGAUAUCAUGGUGUAGUCAUGACACAAACUGCAAAUCAAAGAAUUAAUUGUCUUCCCCAGAGGAUGAACAGAGCACGAUGGCUUCACAUGGAUAACAUUUCCUUUCGAGUUUUGAAAUUAAUUUGUCAGAAUGUUAUGCAUCGUUAUCAACAGAAAAGAACUUCAUAGGUAGACCAAAGCUGACAUGGGAUGAGAUCCUAGAACAAGACCUAGAGUUUACAGGAUUGGAUAGGAUCAAUCCACUGGGUCGCCAAGUGUGGAAGUACAAACUUCAACCUCGACAGGACAGCCAGGCCUCACCCUUGCAAAAAGAUUAAUUUGGCCUGGAUAGUCAAAAUGAGUGAUGAUGAUUGAUAUCAAGGUCUGACACUGGAAGCUCAGUAAGGGUAGAUGCUGGCAAUGGAGCUGUUUAGCAAUAAAACAAACAAGUUUAACAUUAAACAUGUUUGUAUACUUUUUUGGCUCACCUGAGCCAAAGGCUCAAGUGAGCUUUUCUGAUCACCUUUGCCUGUCGUCUGUCUGUUUAUAAACUUUUCACAUUUUCAUUUUCUUCUCCAGAGUGAACCACUGGGCCAGUUUCAAUCAAACUUGGUAUGCAUCAUCAAUAGAUAAAGGGUAUUCAAGUUUAUUCAUAUAAAGGGUCAUGCACCCUUCAAAAAGGAAAUAAUCAUGGAAAUGCAAAAAUAGGGUGGGGUCAUUUAAAAAACCUUUUCAAGAACCACUGGACCAGGAAAGUUGAAUUCACACGAAAGGUUCCUGUUUUGUGCAAAUCAUGGUCUCUGGGGGUAGGGUGGGGUCACAAUAGAGAAUCAAAGUUUUACAUUCAUAUAUAGUGCAUAUUCAAGUUUGUAAAAAGCUCACAGGGGUAGGGUGGGGGUCACAAUAGGGGAUUUAAGUUUUACAUGUGAAAUAUAUACAAGGAAAAUCUUUUAAAAUCUUCUCCUCAAAAACUAGAUGCAGAACCGUAGCUCUUUGAAAAGAGAGCUUCAGAUGAACCCCUUAUAAAAAAAACUUCAAUUUAUGGCAGAGAAAAAAAGUGCAUUUUUAAGUCCCUCUAUCACUGCAUUCCUGCAUCGCUAUGUCAUGAAUUUAAUAUUAAAUAAUUCCCAACAUAUUUUCCCACUAUACUUGUUUCCAAACAUACUUUCACAUAUUUUCUAAACCCACAUAUAACCCCAAAACAGCUUCAAGUGAUUUCAAUUUCUUUGUUGAUGUAGCCGUGUUAAGUAGCCUGUCAAUUUGAACCCCAGUUCAUUUCCAUACUCAUACUCAUUUUGAAACAUAAUGUCUGUGUGAACUAAUAUCCUCACAAACAUUUUUAGUGAAAUAUUUUGGAUGAAAUCAUCCCAGUUGGGUUAAAUACUUAUUAUUCAAAUACUGUAGGUUUGAAUAUUGAACUAAUCUCACAGCUUUCUUAAGUUUGGUCCCCAUCCCCACCAGUCUGUUUUUACGCUUAACUAUUGAAAUGGGGUGUAAGGGAUCAGACUAGGCUUUUAUAGCAUUAUCAAUUUUCAAAAGCUUUAGAAAAAUUAUACAAUUUUAGGUCACUUGAGUAAACUCAGAUGACAUAUUGCUAUUGAUCUGCAUCUGUUGUAGUCCGUCGACAUUAACAAUUGAACAUUUUUAACUAAAUUCUAUAACUGAAAGAUGAAGAUACCGCACAGCGAUCAAUCUACGAUUCAAAUAACGGAAUUCUUUUCAAAUUUAGUAUGAAGCACACAAAUUUACAUUAAACCUUCUUGACAUAGUGCAUAUUCAAGUUUGUUAAAAUCAUUUCCCCGGGAGUUAUGGUGUGGUAACAAUAGGGGGUCAAAGUUUUAUAUGCUAGCUGAUAUAAAGGAAAAUUCUUUAAAGAUAUCUCUUGAACUAUUUAAGCUAGGGCUUUCAUAUCUUGUAUAUACAAUUUUUAUGGCAAAACAAAUCUGACUUAUUCAGUAUGUCCUGAACUACAUUGUGUUUAAGGUAGAUCUUUCAUAUAUAUUAUAUAUUAUGAAUUUCUUAUGAUAAAACCUUUCAUCUUGUUGAGGAGCCUCUCACCUCUGGUUGGCGCGGGUUUGAAUCCUGCUCGCACCGGUAAUUGAGAAAGUUUCCCAGUUUACUCUCGGAAGGUCGGUGGUCUCUUCCCAGGUACGUUGUAUCUGGGUUCUCUCUUCCACCAAUAAAAACUGGGCACCACCAGAUAACUGAAAAAUUGUUGAGUGUGGCGGAAAACAGUUAAAACAAUCAAUCAUAUUAUGUUAUUUGACCUUGUGACCCUGAAUUCUGAGUUUGACAUACUUUUAAGAAAGUAUAACAUAUUAAGUAUAUCCAGGACUAUUUUAGAUAGGGCUUUUAUGUUUUGUAUAUUGAUUACUUAUGGCAAGGUCUUUCAUAUCAUACCAAGACCUACGACUUUUUACCUUGGUCUUAUCCAGAACAGCAAUAUCAUGCUAGUCAUAUCUUUGUCUUAUAUGAUUUCAUUUUAGUAAUGUUGUGUUCUUUAGAGCUAGGUUUGGGUCACAUCAUUCAUGAGAAUAAAGAUUGAUAAAAUAGCAUUUAAAAAUCAAAACAGCAGGGCCAAGAUGACUCAGGUGAGCGAUGUGGCCCAUGGGCCUCUUGUUGAUUUUGAUAUUUCUACCUAUAUCAUUUGUAUGAGAAGUGGAACUCCUUUUUUUCUUUUACAAAUACAUGUAUUAUCAUAUGGAUCCAUCUUUGUUGAUUAUUUAAUCAAAGGACAUAUUCAAUUCAUUCAAUGUAUUAAAUGUAAAUUUAUGGAUAUGUCUGUGGUUAAAUUACUUAUGUAUGUAUGUAUACAUUUUUCUCGCACAUGCAAUUACAUAUAUGAUGUAUAUAUAUUUACUAAUUGUACAUGUAAUAUCCCCUGUUAUAUAAUAAAAUAUAUGACUGAGAAUAAAA
This is a long non-coding RNA of Ostrea edulis (European flat oyster), 8566 nucleotides long. RefSeq lists it as uncharacterized. The record is from RefSeq and is a predicted model, not a curated record. The transcript has 2 exons. Lineage: Eukaryota; Metazoa; Mollusca; Bivalvia; Ostreida; Ostreidae.